Molecule: long non-coding RNA, 534 nt
Organism: Oncorhynchus tshawytscha (Chinook salmon)
Lineage: Eukaryota; Metazoa; Chordata; Actinopteri; Salmoniformes; Salmonidae
Source: Ensembl
CCGUACUGCAAUAUAAUCACCAACACACAGGUGACUCAGAAGGAGAGAUGAUGAAGGUGGGAAUACUGACACUUUUGUUGCUGUCUCUCUGGACAUGUGAUUGCAAGUCAUUGCAGACCGAUUCAGACACUCUGAUUGAGCUUUUGGAGCUCCUCCAGUCAGUGGGUUAUCAGGUGCCAGGAGGUGAAGAGGGGCCCAUGCUGGAGACAACCAGAGAGAAUGCAGCAUGGCCCAGUGCUGAGCUGGAGAAGAGAGAUCUCCCAAGGAUGGGUGCCUCUAUGUACAACAGACCUUACGCUGAACAAGGCAGCAGCAGAAAGUCUAAUACAAAGUAUCCGCCUGCUUUUCCAAUGGAGCGUAUGAAUGGUGUCCGGGGUUGAUGGACUGUCUUACAAAACAAUGAGAUUAUACCACAGUAUCAUUUUCUGACUAAUUGGAUCUGCCAAAUGUCUGCUUCUCAGACCUACAGUGAACAGUACGACUCCUUUGCAUGUCUUCUACAAUGAAUCCCAUCCCCUUAUGACUCAAAUAAAG